UCCCCCACCGGCCGCUGACUGGCUGGCCUUUCCCAAGACAGGAAGCCGCCAGAAACGGAUGUUUGAAAGCAGCCAGGCAGAGAGGAGGUGAAACCGCGUCCCUGGCUCUCCACGGAGGGCGAGCGGUGCUCUGGACAGGACCCAGAGGGACCCUUUCUGGGUUUGCCUGCACGGGAACCAGCAGGGUUACGUCCGGAGUCUGCACACGGGCGAGGCGGGCUGGCCAGCUGCAGUCGCUCCCAGCACCAGGACUGUCUGUGCCGCCACACAGCGCCCUCCGCCCACGUCCCAGCGAGCGGCCAGUGUCCUCAGAGAGCAGAAACGCCGCAGGGAGCAGGGCAAAUUCCCACAGCAGGGUGCAUGAAGGAUCGAGAUGCAGCGGGGAAGGAUCAAGGCCAAUGACCACGCCAGCCUGCUAGGUGACGACCAGAAUCCCAAAGGGCUUUCUUACGGGAGUCUGAUCCAGGAGCCUGCCGAAGCCUCAGAGGUAGGCAGAGAGCUGGGGAGAGGGGGCCAGUCCCUGCCCCGGCGAGAAGUUCCUACUGCCGGAGGGUGGGGGAGGAAGGCAGCCAGUGUGGGAGGCAG
Non-coding RNA from Pelodiscus sinensis (Chinese soft-shelled turtle), 585 nucleotides. NCBI's taxonomy places the organism in Eukaryota, Metazoa, Chordata, Testudines, Trionychidae. The record is from RefSeq and is a predicted model, not a curated record.